Molecule: ribosomal RNA, 429 nt
Filed under: Actinomycetes bacterium
Lineage: Bacteria; Bacillati; Actinomycetota; Actinomycetes
Description: Actinobacteria bacterium partial 16S ribosomal RNA
Rfam family: Bacterial small subunit ribosomal RNA
Source: RNAcentral
UAGGGAAUCUUCCGCAAUGGGCGAAAGCCUGACGGAGCAACGCCGCGUGAGUGAUGAAGGUCUUCGGAUCGUAAAACUCUGUUAUUAGGGAAGAACAAAUGUGUAAGUAACUAUGCACGUCUUGACGGUACCUAAUCAGAAAGCCACGGCUAACUACGUGCCAGCAGCCGCGGUAAUACGUAGGUGGCAAGCGUUAUCCGGAAUUAUUGGGCGUAAAGCGCGCGUAGGCGGUUUUUUAAGUCUGAUGUGAAAGCCCACGGCUUAACCGUGGAGGGUCGUUGGAAACUGGAAAACUUGAGUGCAGAAGAGGAAAGUGGAAUUCCAUGUGUAGCGGUGAAAUGCGCAGAGAUAUGGAGGAACACCAGUGGCGAAGGCGACUUUCUGGUCUGUAACUGACGCUGAUGUGCGAAAGCGUGGGGAUCAAACAGG